AGUCGUAACAAGGUUUCCGUAGGUGAACCUGCGGAAGGAUCGUUAUCGAGUAUUCGGGUUGCCUCUCGGGGUCCCGUUUCUCUCCAACCCACUGUUUACAAACCACGUUGCCUCGGCGGGCAGCGGCUUCGGUCGCCUUAGGUUCUCUAUAUGGAGAACUCUCGAGCGGCUCGCCGACGGGAUCACACAAACUCCAUGUUAAAACAAGUCAAUUCUGAAUAACGUAAAUACUUCAAAA
RNAcentral lists this unclassified non-coding RNA (238 nucleotides) under plant metagenome. RNAcentral describes it as "partial contains small subunit ribosomal RNA and internal transcribed spacer 1". The stretch from base 1 to 45 matches the Rfam family "Eukaryotic small subunit ribosomal RNA", at positions 1787 to 1831 of the family's 1831-position model. The record is from RNAcentral.